Chinchilla lanigera (long-tailed chinchilla) is the source of this 470-nucleotide long non-coding RNA. RefSeq lists it as uncharacterized. NCBI's taxonomy places the organism in Eukaryota, Metazoa, Chordata, Mammalia, Rodentia, Chinchillidae. The transcript has 2 exons. The record is from RefSeq and is a predicted model, not a curated record.
AAUAAGAAACACGCCAAUAGCGAGGAACAGAACUGCCAGUGACCUUAACAGCUGGAGACACGUUGGGUGUACAGUGCCUGAGAAAUGCCCAGCACAUUUUCUCUGACAGAGCCUCCUCUGGAAGAAUCCUGGUUUUAUAACAUCAACACUCUGAAGGUCUCUAGAAAAGCACAGGAGACAGGACUGGUACCAGCAGCCGUUUUUGUACCGUCUGGCACCAUGGUGAUAGAAGUGGGAAAGGAAAGCCUUUCAACCAACUUUCUUAGACCAGCUUUCUUGUUUUUCUUCCCUACUUGGAUUAGAAAAAAAAGAGAUGGACCAAACAGAGAGGCUCAGGAUGACAGUGAAAGAUUAACAAAAGAAGCCAAGAUCAAAUGAUUUGGAAAAGAUUUCAAACAUCUUAAAAAAAAAACAACAAAAUCUGCAGUGUCACUGGCAUCACUAGGCAAAUAAAUUAACCUUGAUGGUAA